UCCUACGGGAGGCAGCAGUGAGGAAUAUUGGUCAAUGGGCGAGAGCCUGAACCAGCCAAGUCGCGUGAGGGACGACGGCCCUACGGGUUGUAAACCUCUUUUGUCGGGGGACAAACGGCGGCACGCGUGCCGUCCUGAGGGUACCCGGAGAAAAAGCAUCGGCUAACUCCGUGCCAGCAGCCGCGGUAAUACGGAGGAUGCGAGCGUUAUCCGGAUUUAUUGGGUUUAAAGGGUGCGCAGGCGGGCUGUUAAGCCGGCGGUAAAAAUUCAGGGCUCAACCCUGUCGAGCCGUCGGAACUGG
This 301-nucleotide ribosomal RNA is filed under the name uncultured bacterium. Its description in RNAcentral is "bacterial SSU rRNA". It matches the Rfam family "Bacterial small subunit ribosomal RNA", at positions 337 to 636 of the family's 1533-position model. The record is from RNAcentral.